UUGGUAGGUGUCCCUGAUCCUGGAUCAGUCGAAUGCGGACUCCUACCUUGUGCCGUUGAAAGAUGGAGUCUUUCCUUUCUCUGUAAGAAUAAUCUGUGUAUGAAUGAGAAUGAAUGAUGAGCAGCAGGAUGAGGAUCAGCAGAGCUCUCCCACACAGCGCUCGGAGACAUUCUGUCCUGGACAAUUAUUUCUGAGUCCACUCCCUACAUCCGCGGGGUGACCGUGCUGGACGGGUUUUACCUCUGACCCCGGGGGGACGCAGUAGGAGGCUCAAUAAAGCUAGUCAUUGCUGCAUACAAAUCACACAAUGGAGAAUGGGAGACUUAAAUAUGGAGCAGAGAGAGAGGAAAUUGGAAACAUCGCUUUCAGCAUUAUGGGCAUAGUGAAGAUGAUCGCUGAAUGUGCAUAUAUAUUGCUGCUUAGGCUAAGAGGAAUAUCAUGGCUGCCAUAGAGAGGAGGAACCAUCACAGAGCAGACAUAUGUGCCCUCACUGUGCUUUCUGGUUGGUUCAAGUUUAAAGGAGGCGUUUCCGCCAGCGAUGGUCUUGAC
Molecule: non-coding RNA, 549 nt
Organism: Danio rerio (zebrafish)
Lineage: Eukaryota; Metazoa; Chordata; Actinopteri; Cypriniformes; Danionidae
Source: RefSeq, a predicted model, not a curated record